This 433-nucleotide ribosomal RNA is filed under the name uncultured bacterium. RNAcentral describes it as "partial 16S ribosomal RNA". It matches the Rfam family "Bacterial small subunit ribosomal RNA", at positions 29 to 507 of the family's 1533-position model. The record is from RNAcentral.
AACGAACGCUGGCGGCAUGCCUAACACAUGCAAGUCGAACGAGACCUUCGGGUCUAGUGGCGCACGGGUGCGUAACGCGUGGGAACCUGCCCUUAGGUUCGGAAUAACUCCCCGAAAGGGGUGCUAAUACCGGAUAAUGUCUUCGGACCAAAGAUUUCUCGCCUUUGGAUGGGCCCGCGUUGGAUUAGCUAGUUGGUAGGGUAAAAGCCUACCAAGGCGACGAUCCAUAGCUGGUCUGAGAGGAUGAUCAGCCACACUGGGACUGAGACACGGCCCAGACUCCUACGGGAGGCAGCAGUGGGGAAUAUUGGACAAUGGGCGAAAGCCUGAUCCAGCAAUGCCGCGUGAGUGAUGAAGGCCUUAGGGUUGUAAAGCUCUUUUACCCGAGAUGAUAAUGACAGUACCGGGAGAAUAAGCUCCGGCUAACUCCGUG